AAGGAAUUAGUUAAAUAAAUAACAUUAGAUUGUCAAACUAAAAUUAUUAGCUUAUAGUAUUCUUUA
RNAcentral lists this transfer RNA (66 nucleotides) under Ochthebius delgadoi. RNAcentral describes it as "tRNA-Asp". The record is from RNAcentral. Lineage: Eukaryota; Metazoa; Arthropoda; Insecta; Coleoptera; Hydraenidae.